AUGAACGCUGGCGGCGUGCUUAACCCAUGCAAGUCGAACGAGAAGUGAAGACGGAAACCUUCGGGCGGAAGGCUUUAUUUCGAGUGGCGGACGGGUGAGUAACGCGUGGGUAACCUGCCUCAUACAGGGGGAUAACAGUUGGAAACGACUGUUAAUACCGCAUAAGACCACAGCACCGCAUGGUGCGGGGGUAAAAACUCCGGUGGUAUGAGAUGGACCCGCGUUCGAUUAGCCAGUUGGCGGGGUAACGGCCCACCAAAGCGACGAUCGAUAGCCGAUCUGAGAGGAUGACCGGCCACAUUGGGACUGAGACACGGCCCAAACUCCUACGGGAGGCAGCAGUGGGGAAUAUUGCACAAUGGGGGAAACCCUGAUGCAGCGACGCCGCGUGAGUGAAGAAGUAUUUCGGUAUGUAAAGCUCUAUCAGCAGGGAAGAAAAUGACGGUACCUGAGUAAGAAGCCCCGGCUAACUACGUG
This 477-nucleotide ribosomal RNA is filed under the name uncultured bacterium. RNAcentral describes it as "partial 16S ribosomal RNA". It matches the Rfam family "Bacterial small subunit ribosomal RNA", at positions 29 to 507 of the family's 1533-position model. The record is from RNAcentral.